Molecule: ribosomal RNA, 230 nt
Filed under: uncultured bacterium
Lineage: Bacteria
Description: partial 16S ribosomal RNA
Rfam family: Bacterial small subunit ribosomal RNA
Source: RNAcentral
UGAGCAAUCUGCCCUUAGCUCUGGGAUAACCCCGGGAAACCGGGGCUAAUACCGGAUACGAGUCCGAGCGGCAUCACACGGACUGGAAAGUUUUUCGGCUAAGGAUGGGCUCGCGGCCUAUCAGCUUGUUGGUGGGGGUAAUGGCCCACCAAGGCGACGACGGGUAGCCGGCCUGAGAGGGCGACCGGCCACACUGGGACUGAGACACGGCCCAGACUCCUACGGGAGCA